CCCGCGCGCCCGUUAUUCGGGCGUUUCCUCCCUAGACUUCGGACCGCCUCCGGGCGUGCCGUUUUUCCGCCACAU
This 75-nucleotide small RNA is filed under the name Methylorubrum salsuginis. Its description in RNAcentral is "suhB". The record is from RNAcentral. Lineage: Bacteria; Pseudomonadati; Pseudomonadota; Alphaproteobacteria; Hyphomicrobiales; Methylobacteriaceae.